GCAAAUCGCAAAAAGGGAAAAGAAAAACCACAAAAUAGUCGAUUGAAUUCAAGGAAAGGUAAUUGUAAUUGUGAUCUAUUUGAACCUUCAGUACUUUGAUAAGAGAUGAGUUUAUUUGCAAAAGUUUCAGACGGAUCAUUUAAAAAAUCAACAUUUGGACAUCUUGUUAUUAACUUUUGUUCUAUAAGAGAAGAAAAAACUGAAUUAAAUCGUGAUUUCCAAAUAUGGCUUCGGAUAAGACUAAAUUCUGAACCAAGAAGACCUAGGACUGGAAUUCGAAACCAAGAGAAGACCUGGGACUAGAAUUCUAAACAAAGAAAAGACUAACACAAUUCUAAACCAAGAAGACCUAGGAAUCGAAUUCUAAACCAAGAAGACCUAGGAAUCGAAUUCUAAACCAAGAAGAGACCUAGGACUAGAAUUCUAAACCAAGAAGAGACCUAGGAAUUGAAUUCUAAACAAAGAAGAGACCUAGGACUAGAAUUCUAAACCAA
Molecule: long non-coding RNA, 494 nt
Organism: Eurytemora carolleeae
Lineage: Eukaryota; Metazoa; Arthropoda; Copepoda; Calanoida; Temoridae
Exons: 2
Source: RefSeq, a predicted model, not a curated record